UACGGGGGGGGGCAAGCGUUGUUCGGAAUUACUGGGCGUAAAGGGCUCGUAGGUGGCCAACUAAGUCAUACGUGAAAUCCCUCGGCUUAACCGGGGAACUGCGUGUGAUACUGGAUGGCUUGAGUUCGGGAGAGGGAUGCGGAAUUCCAGGUGUAGCGGUGAAAUGCGUAGAUAUCUGGAGGAACACCGGUGGCGAAGGCGGCGUCCUGGACCAACACUGACACUGAGGAGCGAAAGCGUGGGGAGCGAACAGG
RNAcentral lists this ribosomal RNA (254 nucleotides) under uncultured bacterium. RNAcentral's name for it is "partial 16S ribosomal RNA". It matches the Rfam family "Bacterial small subunit ribosomal RNA", at positions 524 to 776 of the family's 1533-position model. The record is from RNAcentral.